CCUACGGGGGGCUGCAGUGGGGAAUAUUGGACAAUGGGGGCAACCCUGAUCCAGCCAUGCCGCGUGUGUGAAGAAGGCCCUCGGGUUGUAAAGCACUUUCAGUGAGGAAGAACGCCUGGUGGUUAAUACCCAUCAGGAAAGACAUCACUCACAGAAAAAGCACCGGCUAACUCCGUGCCAGCAGCCGCGGUAAUACGGAGGGUGCGAGCGUUAAUCGGAAUUACUGGGCGUAAAGCGCGCGUAGGUGGCUUGAUAAGCCGGUUGUGAAAGCCCCGGGCUCAACCUGGGAACGGCAUCCGGAACUGUCAAGCUAGAGUGCAGGAGAGGAAGGUAGAAUUCCCGGUGUAGCGGUGAAAUGCGUAGAGAUCGGGAGGAAUACCAGUGGCGAAGGCGGCCUUCUGGACUGACACUGACACUGAGGUGCGAAAGCGUGGGUAGCAAACAGGAUUAGAUACCCCGGUAGUC
RNAcentral lists this ribosomal RNA (465 nucleotides) under Vreelandella stevensii. RNAcentral describes it as "partial 16S ribosomal RNA". It matches the Rfam family "Bacterial small subunit ribosomal RNA", at positions 338 to 795 of the family's 1533-position model. The record is from RNAcentral. Lineage: Bacteria; Pseudomonadati; Pseudomonadota; Gammaproteobacteria; Oceanospirillales; Halomonadaceae.